Molecule: long non-coding RNA, 516 nt
Filed under: Nicotiana benthamiana
Lineage: Eukaryota; Viridiplantae; Streptophyta; Magnoliopsida; Solanales; Solanaceae
Description: long non-coding RNA (NBEN_LNC026392)
Source: RNAcentral
UUUAACACAACGUGGAACUAUAUCUUAGCAGUGAACCGGGGCAAUUUGUUGGAGAGGAACACCAAAGUCUCCAACAAAGGUCAAGGAUCUACUUCGAACUCCGCUCGGCUCGACUCUCAAAAUUCAUAAUUAAAUUAUUAUUUCAAACAUCUUUAUUUUAAUUACGGUACCCAGUGUCUCUAUUAUUUGACACAGGGGCAUCAUUUUAAGCUCCGCAUCAAUAGUUAUGUCCUACUCUAGGGUGCUAUAAGUCUUGAACUACAUAUGACUUGAUUCUCGUGAAACCCGAAAUAGGUAGACAACUCGAAAUCGGAGUUCGCUUGCAAUCAUUUUUAUGUCCCUUUCGUUCCAUUUAUGCCUUGAUGGUAAGGACAAAAUUGGCUAUAUUAUUUUCUUUGCCUGAAAACUUUUUCAUCAUUUUCAAUCAAAAAGGGGCGACUAUUGAUAUCCAAUUUUGUCCUACUUUUCCUUUGAUUAAUUGUCAGGUUCUCCCUAGUCAUCAAUAAUUUAAUGCUC